CAAAGAAAACAGCUGCAUAUGGGAACCGUGCAGAACUCUAGUCUGAGUGACCAGAAUGAACUAGAGCUGGUGGACUGAAAUUCUGUGGUCUUGGCAAGUGGGUCCAGAACUGCUGCUGUAUUUCUUCACCAGCCAAAGGACUAAGCAGACUCUUUAAGAAAAGCAGGGCCAAAGGAUCUCAGAGAAAUGGAGCCUUGGCUGUGAUUGAACCAUAGCUGAGCAGUGUCCCACUUCUGGAUUUGAGCUAAUCAUGUGAGCUUUAAUAAUCCACCUAAUGUUUAAGAUAUUUAAAUUGGACCUCCUCUUUUGAUUGACUACAUCAAACUGAUACUUGCCUUAUACAUAUUUGUAAACUCAUAAUCCUAUAUGACCAGUACCUUUGUAACUCUUUCGUGUUGAAUGAACCAAUGAAUAAAUAAACCAGACCUUU
Molecule: long non-coding RNA, 430 nt
Organism: Canis lupus familiaris (dog)
Lineage: Eukaryota; Metazoa; Chordata; Mammalia; Carnivora; Canidae
Exons: 2
Source: RefSeq, a predicted model, not a curated record